This is a long non-coding RNA of Spinacia oleracea (spinach), 1212 nucleotides long. RefSeq lists it as uncharacterized. NCBI's taxonomy places the organism in Eukaryota, Viridiplantae, Streptophyta, Magnoliopsida, Caryophyllales, Amaranthaceae. The transcript has 4 exons. The record is from RefSeq and is a predicted model, not a curated record.
CCACCCCUACCUAGAUCAACCCAUUCAACAAUUCAAAAGAAAAAAAUAAACUCGACCCUUCAACGGCUACUCUCUCUCCAAUGUUCUCCCUCAUUCUUCAACCUCAAUUAAAUCCACUAAUCACCCAAAAACACACAACGCUUCAAAAUUCCGGGGGCGUUGUAAGGGAGAAGAAGUUGUCAAAAAUUUUAGUUGGAAUUGCAUUCUCAGAAGGGGUUUUCGGUCGUAUUGUGCAAGGAUGUGGAGUAGUUUAAGUUCAAGUUCAAGUACGAACACUUGUUAUAUGUUACUCGCGCAUCGUGUAAGAAUCCCGCCUAACUCUGACUCCACCUCCCACGUUUUUCUCAACCUCCCACCGACGUCCUUGCUGCGCUGCGAAACCUAACCACCCUCGUCAAAUUUCCCGACGAAUCCGUCUUCUCUCCUCCUCACCUUCAGCACCAUUAACGACUUCCCUAAAUUUCGUCUUCAACCUUUACGUUAGCACAGUCAAAGCUCUCAGUAUAAGCUAUCUCACUCAUCCUAUAAAUUCAUGAAAAAUCCCAAUUAUUGAAUUCAGAAUUCGCCCAACAAAUUCAAGAUAAAUUCGUUGCUCUCUCUGGUUUUUAAUUGGAGAAAUUCAAGCAUCCUCUGGUUUCUUAAUUGCUGCUUCGUCCUCGAUGUUGCCGGAUAUAUUUUCCAGUUUUCAAGUGCAGAUAGUUUGUUGGUUGGACGAUAGUUGGAAAGUGGUGAACGUCUAACUUCUUCUUCCGUGUUGUUACUACUGUAGGUUUCGCCGACCACACCGGUUCAAGGUUUCGUGUGAUUCUUUAGCGUUGUUCGUAGGUUCGUGCAUCAUAUCGUGCGUUGCUACACCAUUCAAGGUUUCCUGCGAGUCUUUAGCGUUGUUCGUAGGUUCGUGCAUCGGUUCGUGCGUUGCAUCUGCUCUUUGAUACUAGAGGUAUGUAUACUAUAAAGUCCGUUUUAGGUUUUUUAUUGGACAAUUGUUAUUUCCCUAAUUUUGUAUGGACAAGGGUGGGCUACAACUCUGCAAGUUAGGUUUGUUAAGUGUUAGAAUAUAAUUCCCGUGGCUUUACAUUUCCUCGAUGUCUAAUAUAUAUACAAUGAGCAUAUACUAACGUUUAUUGUGCUAUCUUAACUUACGUCAAUCAUGCAAAAGUUGGAUCUUUCUAUUGUAUUCCUGUUGAUUUAAUUUCAAAUGUUUUGAUAUAA